This is a long non-coding RNA of Mizuhopecten yessoensis (Yesso scallop), 509 nucleotides long. RefSeq lists it as uncharacterized. The transcript is spliced from 3 exons. Lineage: Eukaryota; Metazoa; Mollusca; Bivalvia; Pectinida; Pectinidae. The record is from RefSeq and is a predicted model, not a curated record.
AUGAUGCAGUUCUGUGGGAACAUUCGGAAGAAAGAAAAACAUGCUGAGCAUGUACAGCAAAAAUUUCAAGGUAUGCAGAUGAAGUGAUUGGGAUGACCACAUACUUAUAUAACAAGUGGAAGAGAUGACUUUUUUCUCCUAUAAACUUUCCUGGCAGAGACAACUAUAUAUCCGCCCAACUGAAAUUCUUCUGAGUGUGUCACUAAGUAGGACUACAUGUGACGCCUGCGCUUGACGGGGAGGAGACUGAUGUGAGGCUAGUAAUAAGAGGGACAGUCAUUCCUGAAUGUCUUUCAGUGGGGUCAGAGGUUAAAGGCUUAUCACCAAGUUGGCAACAUAAGCCUGCUUCCUCUGCAAAAAUACUUGCAAGUACCUUCCCUGCUUACUUCUAGAUGCAAUUAAUCUCAUAUUGGUGAUCUAUCCAAACAAAGGAAUGAUGACAUACUGUAUUUGAAAUCUACUUCUUAGGUAAAUAGUGCAUUUCAGUGACUAUUCUAUUCAGUCCAUUU